CUCCUACGGGAGGCAGCAGUGGGGAAUUUUCCGCAAUGGGCGAAAGCCUGACGGAGCAACGCCGCGUGAGGGAUGAAGGCCUCUGGGCUGUAAACCUCUUUUCUCAAGGAAGAAGAUAUGACGGUACUUGAGGAAUAAGCCACGGCUAAUUCGCGUGCCAGCAGCCGCGGUAAU
Molecule: ribosomal RNA, 174 nt
Filed under: uncultured Prochlorococcus sp.
Lineage: Bacteria; Bacillati; Cyanobacteriota; Cyanophyceae; Synechococcales; Prochlorococcaceae
Description: partial 16S ribosomal RNA
Rfam family: Bacterial small subunit ribosomal RNA
Source: RNAcentral